This 253-nucleotide ribosomal RNA is filed under the name uncultured bacterium. RNAcentral's name for it is "partial 16S ribosomal RNA". It matches the Rfam family "Bacterial small subunit ribosomal RNA", at positions 524 to 776 of the family's 1533-position model. The record is from RNAcentral.
UACGGAGGGUGCGAGCGUUGUUCGGAAUCACUGGGCGUAAAGGGCGUGUAGGCGGUCCGCUAAGUCUGAUGUGAAAGCCCGGGGCUCACCCCCGGAAGUGCAUUGGAAACUGGCGGACUCGAGUCCCGGAGAGGAGGGUGGAAUUCCUGGUGUAGCGGUGAAAUGCGUAGAUAUCAAGUGGAACACCAGUGGCGAAGGCGAGUCCCUGGACAACUCCUGACACUGAGGCACGAAAGCUAGGGGAGCAAACAGG